Molecule: ribosomal RNA, 447 nt
Filed under: uncultured bacterium
Lineage: Bacteria
Description: bacterial SSU rRNA
Rfam family: Bacterial small subunit ribosomal RNA
Source: RNAcentral
GAUGAACGCUGGCGGCGUGCCUAACACAUGCAAGUCGAACGAUGAAACCGCCCUCGGGCGGACAUGAAGUGGCGAACGGGUGAGUAACACGUGACCAACCUGCCCCUUGCUCCGGGACAACCUUGGGAAACCGAGGCUAAUACCGGAUACUCCUCGCCCCCCUCCUGGGGGGCCCGGGAAAGCCCAGACGGCAAGGGAUGGGGUCGCGGCCCAUUAGGUAGUAGGCGGGGUAACGGCCCACCUAGCCCGCGAUGGGUAGCCGGGUUGAGAGACCGACCGGCCACAUUGGGACUGAGAUACGGCCCAGACUCCUACGGGAGGCAGCAGUGGGGAAUUUUGCGCAAUGGGGGAAACCCUGACGCAGCAACGCCGCGUGCGGGACGACGGCCUUCGGGUUGUAAACCGCUUUCAGCAGGGAAGAAAUUCGACGGUACCUGCAGAAGAAGC